This 301-nucleotide ribosomal RNA is filed under the name uncultured bacterium. RNAcentral describes it as "partial 16S ribosomal RNA". It matches the Rfam family "Bacterial small subunit ribosomal RNA", at positions 509 to 807 of the family's 1533-position model. The record is from RNAcentral.
CAGCCGCCGCGGGAAUACGUAGGGUGCAAGCGUUAAUCGGAAUUACUGGGCGUAAAGCGUGCGCAGGCGGUUAUAUAAGACAGAUGUGAAAUCCCCGGGCUCAACCUGGGAACUGCAUUUGUGACUGUAUAGCUAGAGUACGGCAGAGGGGGAUGGAAUUCCGCGUGUAGCAGUGAAAUGCGUAGAUAUGCGGAGGAACACCGAUGGCGAAGGCAAUCCCCUGGGCCUGUACUGACGCUCAUGCACGAAAGCGUGGGGAGCAAACAGGAUCAGAUACCCCGGUAGUCCCUGUCUCUUAUAC